UAGAGUUUGAUCCUGGCUCAGAUUGAACGCUGGCGGCAGGCCUAACACAUGCAAGUCGAGCGGUAGCGGGCCUGACCACUCUCGAGUGGUUCAGGCGCCGACGAGCGGCGGACGGGUGCGUAACACGUAGGAAUCUGCCCGGUAGUGGGGGAUAGCCCGGAGAAAUUCGGAUUAAUACCGCAUACGCCCUAAGGGGGAGAGCAGGGGAUCGGUUCGCCGACCUUGCGCUAUCGGAUGAGCCUGCGUCGGAUUAGCUAGUUGGUGGGGUAAAGGCCUACCAAGGCGACGAUCCGUAGCUGGUCUGAGAGGAUGAUCAGCCACACUGGGACUGAGACACGGCCCAGACUCCUACGGGAGGCAGCAGUGGGGAAUAUUGCACAAUGGGCGAAAGCCUGAUGCAGCCAUGCCGCGUGUGUGAAGAAGGCCCUAGGGUUGUAAAGCACUUUCAGUGGGGAGGAAAGGUCGAAGGUUAAUACCUUUUGGCUGUGACGUUACCCACAGAAGAAGCACCGGCUAACUCCGUGCCAGCAGCCGCGGUAAUACGGAGGGUGCGAGCGUUAAUCGGAAUUACUGGGCGUAAAGCGUGCGUAGGCGGCCAUUUAAGUUGGAUGUGAAAGCCCCGGGCUCAACCUGGGAACUGCAUCCCAAACUGGGUGGCUUGAGUGCGAGAGAGGAGUGUGGAAUUUCCUGUGUAGCGGUGAAAUGCGUAGAUAUAGGAAGGAACACCAGUGGCGAAAGCGACACUCUGGCUUGACACUGACGCUGAGGUACGAAAGCGUGGGGAGCAAACAGGAUUAGAUACCCUGGUA
RNAcentral lists this ribosomal RNA (809 nucleotides) under uncultured bacterium. RNAcentral describes it as "bacterial SSU rRNA". It matches the Rfam family "Bacterial small subunit ribosomal RNA", at positions 1 to 792 of the family's 1533-position model. The record is from RNAcentral.